RNAcentral lists this ribosomal RNA (330 nucleotides) under uncultured bacterium. Its description in RNAcentral is "bacterial SSU rRNA". It matches the Rfam family "Bacterial small subunit ribosomal RNA", at positions 568 to 898 of the family's 1533-position model. The record is from RNAcentral.
CGCGUGGGUGGUAGUGCAAGUCUGAGGUGGAAUCCCAGGGCUUAACCCUGGAACUGCCUUGGAAACUGCAUUACUUGAGUCAGUAAGGGGAGGGUAGAAUUCCUGGUGUAGCGGUGAAAUGCGUAGAUAUCAGGAGGAAGGCCGGUGGCGAAGGCGGCCCUCUGGCGCUGAACUGACACUGAGGCGCGAAAGCGUGGGGAGCAAACAGGAUUAGAUACCCUGGUAGUCCACGCCCUAAACGGUGGGUACUAGGUGUAGGGCUCGUAAGGGUUCUGUGCCGAAGCGAAAGCAUUAAGUACCCCGCCUGGGGAGUACGGCCGCAAGGUUGAA